Molecule: small nucleolar RNA, 135 nt
Organism: Tupaia belangeri (northern tree shrew)
Lineage: Eukaryota; Metazoa; Chordata; Mammalia; Scandentia; Tupaiidae
Gene: SNORA70
Rfam family: Small nucleolar RNA SNORA70
About the family: snoRNA U70 seems to be exclusive to mammals and is a member of the H/ACA class of snoRNA which contain H (ANANNA) and ACA box motifs. H/ACA box snoRNAs are involved in the conversion of uridines to pseudouridines (5-ribosyluracil) a constituent of structural RNAs (transfer, ribosomal, small nuclear, and small nucleolar).
Source: Ensembl
CUGCAGCUAAUUAAGCCGACUGGCCCACCUCUCUGAUGGGGGCUCAGUGUGCAAUGGCUGCGAAAAGCAGAUUCCUUGGUUGUGUAUGCAGCUCAUUCCUUGUAUGUGUUGCUUUAAGGGACCCUGGAAACAUCU